UCAACAAACUCCCCCUUUGGCAAAUUUUGGCUAAAACAUAUAUCUGUCCUUUUUGUUCACAAGGUAAACUAUCAACAGUUAAACAACUUAACAGUAGACCAAAAUUGCUGCCAACACUUAGAAUCAACAAACUCCCCCUUUGGCAAAUUUUGGCUAAAACAUAUAUCUGUCCUUUUUGUUCACAAGGUAAACUAUCAACAGUUAAACAACUUAACAGUAGUUUAAACAGCA
RNAcentral lists this long non-coding RNA (231 nucleotides) under Lathyrus oleraceus (garden pea). Its description in RNAcentral is "Pisum sativum (pea) long non-coding RNA (PSAT_LNC003023)". The record is from RNAcentral. Lineage: Eukaryota; Viridiplantae; Streptophyta; Magnoliopsida; Fabales; Fabaceae.